GCAGUCGAACGAAACUUUCUUACACCGAAUGCUUGCAUUCACCGUAAGAAGUUGAGUGGCGGACGGGUGAGUAACACGUGGGUAACCUGCCUAAAAGAAGGGGAUAACACUUGGAAACAGGUGCUAAUACCGUAUAUCUCUAAGGAUCGCAUGAUCCUUAGAUGAAAGAUGGUUCUGCUAUCGCUUUUAGAUGGACCCGCGGCGUAUUAACUAGUUGGUGGGGUAACGGCCUACCAAGGUGAUGAUACGUAGCCGAACUGAGAGGUUGAUCGGCCACAUUGGGACUGAGACACGGCCCAAACUCCUACGGGAGGCAGCAGUAGGGAAUCUUCCACAAUGGACGCAAGUCUGAUGGAGCAACGCCGCGUGAGUGAAGAAGGUCUUCGGAUCGUAAAACUCUGUUGUUAGAGAAGAACACGAGUGAGAGUAACUGUUCAUUCGAUGACGGUAUCUAACCAGCAAGUCACGGCUAACUACGUGCCAGCAGCCGCGGUAAUACGUAGGUGGCAAGCGUUGUCCGGAUUUAUUGGGCGUAAAGGGAACGCAGGCGGUCUUUUAAGUCUGAUGUGAAAGCCUUCGGCUUAACCGGAGUAGUGCAUUGGAAACUGGAAGACUUGAGUGCAGAAGAGGAGAGUGGAACUCCAUGUGUAGCGGUGAAAUGCGU
Molecule: ribosomal RNA, 664 nt
Filed under: Ligilactobacillus salivarius
Lineage: Bacteria; Bacillati; Bacillota; Bacilli; Lactobacillales; Lactobacillaceae
Description: bacterial SSU rRNA
Rfam family: Bacterial small subunit ribosomal RNA
Source: RNAcentral